Molecule: ribosomal RNA, 1311 nt
Filed under: Statilia sp. FY-2016a
Lineage: Eukaryota; Metazoa; Arthropoda; Insecta; Mantodea; Mantidae
Description: 16S ribosomal RNA
Rfam family: Archaeal large subunit ribosomal RNA (bases 615-1311)
Source: RNAcentral
AAUUAAUAUAAUUGUUUUUUUUUGUUAUUUAAAUGUAAAUUUAAAUUAAAUAAAUUUUAGUUGGUGUAUAAUUUAUAAAUAAAAUAUUUUUUACUAUAGUGAAUUAGUACUGUGAAGGAAAUUUAAAUUAAUUACAUAUAAUUAAAAGAAGGUAAUUUUAUUGAUUGUAUCUUGUGUAUCAGAGUAUAUUAAAAUAUGUUAUAUAUUUUUUUCUUCUCGAAUUUGAAAGAUUUAAUUAAAAAUGUUAGUUUUUGUAUCAUAAAAAUUAAAAAUUUUUGGUUAGUAAUGAAAUGUUAUUCGUUUUCAAGGAUAUCUAGUUUUUUAAUAAACGAAUUUAAUUCGAAGUAUAUAAAUUAUUUAAUGUAUUUUAAUUUAAAUAUUUUUUAUACUUAAUUUUGAAAGGGAUAAUCUUUUUUAAAGAUAAUUAUAAUAGUGAUUAGUUUAGAGGAUUUUAUAAAUUUAGAAUUUGUUAAUAAUUAAAGGAUGUUAAAAUUUAAUUCUUAUUUUAAAAGAUUUUUAAUUUUUAUUUAAUUUUUAUAUUAAAAUGUUAAAAUGAACAUAGAAAUUUUUGAAAUUAUGAUUUAAUUAGUAAAAUUUUAAUUUAUUCAUUAUGAUAAAUUGUAAUGUUAAUAUAAAGAAUUAGGCAAAUACUUUACUCGCCUGUUUAUUAAAAACAUGGUUUCUUGAUUAUAUUUAGGAAAUUUAACCUGCCCACUGAAACAUUUUUGAAGGGCCGCAGUAUCUUGACUGUGCAAAGGUAGCAUAAUCAUUAGUCUUUUAAUUAAGGGCUGGUAUGAAUGGUUGGACGAGGUAAAUUCUGUUUUAUAUUAAUUGAAAUUGAACUUAGAUUUUAAGUUAAAAUACUUAAAUGUUAUUAAGGGACGAGAAGACCCUAUAGAGUUUAAUAAGUUUAAUAAUUAAUUGAGUUAAUAAUUAAUUUUUAGUUUUUAUGGAGCUUAUUUAAUUGGGGUGAUUAAAAGAUAUAAAUAACUCUUUUUUAAUAUUAAUAUUAUUAAUAGCUUUAUGAUCCAUUAAUAAUGAUUAAAAGAUUAAAUUACCUUAGGGAUAACAGCAUAAUUUUUUUUGAGAGUUCAUAUCGAAAAAAGAGAUUGUGACCUCGAUGUUGGAUUAAGAUUAGUUUUGGGUGCAGAUGUUCAUAAACUAGGUCUGUUCGACCUUGAAAAUCUUACAUGAUCUGAGUUUAAACCGGCGUGAGCCAGGUUGGUUUCUAUCUUUAAUUUAAUUAAAUAUCUUAGUACGAGAGGACCAGAUAUUUAAAAUAAUUUUUUAAUAAUUGAAUACUAUUAAUAA